This 266-nucleotide ribosomal RNA is filed under the name uncultured bacterium. RNAcentral describes it as "partial 16S ribosomal RNA". It matches the Rfam family "Bacterial small subunit ribosomal RNA", at positions 74 to 339 of the family's 1533-position model. The record is from RNAcentral.
UCGUCUUCGGAUGACAGGAACCGGCGAACGGGUGCGUAACACGUAUGCAAUCUGCCCCUGACUGGAGCAUAGACCCGGGGAAACUCGGGAUUAAUACUCCAUAAUAUUAUGAAAUGGCAUCAUUUUAUAAUCAAAGUUCCGACGGUCAGGGAUGAGCAUGCGGCCCAUUAGCUAGUUGGUGAGGUAAUGGCUCACCAAGGCUACGAUGGGUAGGGGGUCUGAGAGGAUGAUCCCCCACACUGGUACUGAGACACGGACCAGACUCC